UACGGAGGGUGCAAGCGUUAUCCGGAUUCACUGGGUUUAAAGGGCGCGUAGGCGGCCAGCACAAGUCAGUUGUGAAAUCUCCGAGCUUAACUCGGAACGGUCAACUGAUACUGUGCGACUAGAGUGCAGAAGGGGCAACUGGAAUUCUCGGUGUAGAGGUGAAAUUCGUAGAUAUUGGGAAGAACACCGGUGGCGAAGGCGGCCAACUGGACCACAACUGACGCUGAGACGCGAAAGCGUGGGGAGCGAACAGG
Molecule: ribosomal RNA, 254 nt
Filed under: uncultured bacterium
Lineage: Bacteria
Description: partial 16S ribosomal RNA
Rfam family: Bacterial small subunit ribosomal RNA
Source: RNAcentral